UACGGGGGGGGCAAGCGUUGUUCGGAAUUACUGGGCGUAAAGGGCGCGUAGGCGGUUUGCUAAGUUGGAUGUGAAAACUCUGGGCUUAACCCAGAGCCUGCAUCCAAAACUGGCAAACUUGAGUACUGGAGGGGAAAGCGGAAUUCCUGGUGUAGCGGUGAAAUGCGCAGAUAUCAGGAAGAACACCAAUGGCGAAAGCAGCUCUCUGGGACGGUACUGACGCUGAGACGCGAAAGCGUGGGGAGCGAACAGG
This 253-nucleotide ribosomal RNA is filed under the name uncultured bacterium. Its description in RNAcentral is "partial 16S ribosomal RNA". It matches the Rfam family "Bacterial small subunit ribosomal RNA", at positions 524 to 776 of the family's 1533-position model. The record is from RNAcentral.